Xyrichtys novacula (pearly razorfish) is the source of this 518-nucleotide non-coding RNA. The record is from the annotation of a GenBank genome assembly. Lineage: Eukaryota; Metazoa; Chordata; Actinopteri; Labriformes; Labridae.
CUCACACUCACACACAGUGACUCUGAUCAGCUGUUUUUCUCCUGUUUCUUGUUUUUUACCUGCAGGUGCAGGAGCGUCUACCUGCACCGUGAGGAAGACAGACUACGCCUUUGAGGUGACGGCGGACACUGACCCCUGACCUCUGACCCCAAUAAAGAGCACUGAUUUAAAUCUGAUCUGAGGUCUGAUCACAGCAGGACCAUCUCUGAGGAGGUCUCAUGGUCUGACCUGCUGCACAGUUUCAGGUUCAGGAGAUUAGAUCAAUAAAUUCAGAUUUUAAAAAACGUCCUGAUGUGGGCGGAGUCUCAGGUGAGUUUCUCUUCAGACGUCUGCCGCUGUCACAGCCUGAGAAGAUUUCACCGUAGGAUAUCUGAGAUGAAGAUAUUGAUCCUCAGAUCUGACAGCCUCCUUCAUCACAGAGGAGAGUGACCCGUUCUUGAUGUGGGUCGGUACAGUAAUUCUGGUACCAGUGAGCGUAAAGACGAUGAACACACCUGUCCAAAUUUAAAUUUUUAACA